AGAAAAUAAUGGAUGGUCCUUUCCUGUAUGGUUCCUUACUGAGGGGCAUGUAGGCUGCAGUAGGUUGACAAGUAGCCUGUCAAGAGGGAGUGGACAUCAUGAGUCCUUGUAAUGGAUAUUUCUUGUGGUCACUGGCCAAGCAAGAAGCUAGAAAUACCCUCCAGUUUCACUGCUAGGCAGUACCAAAGAACAGGUUUCUCUUUGAAAUUGUGUUCAUAAUAUAAAGCCAUUGAAGUGGCCUUAUGGCAGCAAAAUCAAAAUCUUUCAUUAAUGAAAGAAGAGCAGAUGAAUAAUCACAAUAAAAGUGUCUGUUACCAUGGGACAGGGAAAUAGGAACACAAUGGGCAUUUGAUGAGCGGCGAUUAGUCUGGCUCCACAGACUAUUUGGGAAAUGGAGAAAAAGAAUGGAUUGUAUUAAAUGCCAAAUUCAAAAGGCACGAUUGGGAAGCUUAGGUCAAAGAAAUUAAGGAUGGCUACACCAAAAUGAGAUGCUGUCUCUGUGGAUCUAUGGUCAAAGUGAAACUUUUGAGUACAAGUUAUGCCUAUGAGCCCAUAAUUACAGGGUGUCAGGCGUCUCAGGGAUGUGGAGGGGCUGAGCUCAGGCCAUGCAUACCUCCCACAUGGCACUAUCUGACUUUGUGCAAGUCUUCAACCUUAUUGUUUUCCUAAUGCAUUCCCCAAACCUCGCCGAGAUAUUCCCAGCUCAGAAAUCUCAGUGACAUUCCCUGCCUGAGGGGGACUCUGAAGCUGAUGCAGAGCUAACAGCAUGGCUGGCUGGCUGCUCCACAAGUGACUGGAGUCCUUCUGAGGUCUCUCUGCAUGAAGUGGGACCUCCUGACCUAGGGACAGGCAAGGGAGAAGCAAAAGAGAAAGGAGAUGGGUGAGACAGUGCCAAGUCACUGGACCACACAUGCUGACACAGCUGGAAAAAUCUAAGAGAAAACCAUAACUGUGAAGGAGACAAAUACUGAAGCAAAUGCACCUCUUUGGAGUGGCAGUUUCUCAUCAGCAGAGUGGACAAACCCUGGCUUUGGAGGAAAAGCCAUGGCAAUACAAAGCCUCACUUUAGGGUGGAGUCUGCUCCAUUGUGGGGAUAGGCAAACUUCAGGAUGGGAUCAAAAACAAAUGGGAAGAGGCAGAACAGGUAAUACCAUCAUUUGAUAAUAACUGACUGUUAAUUCUAUGGGACUGUAAUUAAAGACAGCAGAACCAUCAUACCUGAAGUGCUACAUAAAAAUUACAUUGAAAGGAACCCAGGAAGCUCAUUUGCCUUAGAAAAGGGACAGAGACAUUUUAUACUACUUCAAAGGAGAGGGACACCAAUGUUAAAGCUUUUUCAUGUACACCAAGAACACAGUCAAUUCCAGUAAAACUAUCCACAUAAGCAGCCCAGACAAAAUUGUCUCUACAGCAACAGAUUUGUUCAAGCUGCUAAGGAAUCACAUCCCCACACCUCUUCAAUGAACUUUGUAUUAUAUUUCUCAUGACCUUUUGUGAAGUUUGGUGGAAAAAGAAGAUAUGCAGAACAAAUAUUUCAGCAGGUAUGGUAGCAAAAUAGUGAUGUGUAAGAGUGGGCCACACUUCACAGGGUAUGACUGGGGUUUUUUUAUUGGAAUACACCUAAGUCAUCAUCAUCUCUGUGGGAAACAGCCCAGCCAACAAAGCUAUUACUGACAAAUACACCAGACACUGACCAAUACAGCACUACUACCUUUUAUACAGCACUGAUCAGUGCAUGGACAUACACCUUUAUUGGGCUAGAAACUGGCAAUGCUUGAUAAGAAAAAUAAUUUUAGGUCAAACAGACACAGGGAAUUUCUAGGAUUUGCAAUGAAAAAAAUUAAAAAAAAAACAUAAGACAAGGAGACUCAAUGUGAAACUUUUGAUUUAACAUCUAAGACAACCCUUCAUUUCAGAAUAAUCCCUGAAAAUGUUUGCACUUCUUUUUGAAGUUCUUGAGUUAAAAAACAUUUCUGAUUAAAAGAAUAAACAAAGUUCUGUUUAAAACAUCAAAUCAAAAGGUUCUUCAUCUUGUUUUCUCAAGGACAUCAGAGUGUCAGAGAAAAAAACUUUUUCCAAGAACAAAAGUACUUUUAAAUUAAUUUACCUGAUCUGAACUCAUCAAACCAUUCAUCUUUCUAAGCCCUGUCUUUAGAACAAGUGUCCUAUAUGUAAAAAAACCCCACCUCCACUCUAGUUAACCCAUUCUGUAAUUUUCUCAGAACACUGACAAACAGGAUUUGGUCUCUGUCAAAAAUCUCACACCAGAGAAGCUGUAGAUACAUAUAAAAGAAGAGAUAACACAGCAAAGUUGUGAGAAGCCUUAGAAGGAAAGGAAUCCAUGGACACAGCAGCAGCCUGGGGGCCCCCCAAGGUGUGAAUCCCCCCGUGCUGGGUGACCUGCAGACAAAAUCUCCUGGUGCCAGGGAGCAGAUGUACGUGGGCACAACAGCAGCAGUGCUGCCUGCAGCAGUCGGGCUGGGGGAGCUGGUGCUCAGCUUUUGGCUUUGUGAUCUUCAAGAGCUGUGGCACUGCUGUGCAGGUCCCUGGCAGAUGGCUGAUUAUAAGCAAGAAGUCUGUGUUGGUUGUAGGUUUUUGUUUUUGUUGUGUUUGACCGGGAAGGUAUGGGGCAAAAAUCACUUUAGAGGGUUCUUUCUAAGCCAGGUUUUAUCCAGUGACACAUGCUGAGAGAAGCAGGUCUCUGGAUCUUAGUGAAUUACUUUUGCUGUUUCCUCAUCUCCAUGUGGUGUACGGACCACUCACCCCUGCCCUGAACUGCUCAUGUUCUUCCUAAAGGUAAAGAGAUGGCAGCAUGGCAGCUCCAGCACUAGUUCUGCAAGUCCAAGCAAAGUGCUGGGAUUCACAGGGACAUGCAGGAUCCAGUCCUUCUUCUGGGCUCAGGUGGAUCUCUGAAGGCUCUGGUGUUUCAUAUUACAUGUGGGUGCUAUUUUCAUCCUCCUCAGGAAGUGUUUAUCCUCAGUGUGCUGGUUACAGACUCACUCAAAGCAAGGCGUGCAAGCUGAUCUCUGAGCUCUCUGUGCUGGCAGUGCUUAAUCACAUCCCACUCUAAAAGAAACCAUCUGAUGUCAAGAUUUGGAUGAUAAGAAUAUGGGACACAUUAGUCAUGGAGGAGCUGACAUACACAGAGCAACAAGGGCGAGAUUAUCUUGAUAUGGCUGCCCUUCUCAGGAUGUGGACAUGGAGAGCUCUUUAAUACCUAAAAAACAGACUUAAUUCCUUUUAUUUCUGCUAAUAAAUGUCCUGUCUUUUGCUACAUGAGAACACCACCCUCUGCAGCAGAUGCAUAUGAUUAAAGCAUAAAAAGUAUAAGAAAGAUGCUGUAAAAAAUUAUAGAUCAUUGUCUCAACUCACAAGGUCCUGCCUUCCAAACCAUUUCGGUUUCAUUUUAGAGAUAAUUGUAUUCUUUGUUGUUUGCAAGUGAAUACUGUAAAACUUGUACUCUAUGUUCUUGGAAUACACAUAUGAAAAAUUGGAUAUUUUAAAUUAAAUCUUAGAUGAGCAGUUCUUAGAUGAGCAGUAAAGUCUUAACCUGGCAAAGUGCUCAGCAGCAUGCCCAGAGUGAAGUGCGUAGGUAUUCCAACACAUUCCAGCAAAAUGUGUUGGCAGGGUGAACUAGAACCAGGUUAAUGAGCCUGACUCAUUAGGAGCUGAGAUAGGACCUGGAGCAUGAGAUGGGACUUAAUGAUGCAACCAGUUUGACAAAAUCCCCUUAAACUGAAAGAAUACUUCUUUUUCCUCCUCUCACACCACGCCAAGGACAAGCCCCAAACAAUCCAAAACCCUUAUACAAGGCAGGCAGAGCAUGUACCCUUUUGCCUUCUGUCAGGAGUGCUCUCCAAGUACCAGCAUGGCCUGGAAAAAGACAGGAUUUCCUGGGAAAUCUUAAGGGCAUGAGAUGAUGUGCUCCCACCAUGGUAAUGCCAUUGGGGAGGGUAGAGUUUUUUCUCUUUCAAAGAAACUUUAUCAGCUUGAAACAUGCACUUUAAUUUUCAUUUCUCCUAAAUAAUCAAAUGCACAUUGCCCUUCCUUUUUUCCUGGGUGACGGAAAAGGGACAUUUCCCCAGACCUAUGCAUCAGUGCUGAUAACACCACUUUGAAAUUCACCAACAAGCCAUUAGGGCCAUAAAAUUUGCUCUUCUACAUUUUAAGAAUAUUUUAGGAUGCAAAUACUCCAGAUAGCUAAAGGUGUCAGGACCCAGAAACCAGCAGGAGUUCUAUAAAAUUCAACAUGUUCUGCAUUUGUAAAAGUUAACUUAAAACCACAAAGGAAACUGACCCCAUAAGAGACCUUGAUGCAAGUAUUCUUUGUACAAGGAUCUCAGAGCAAACUGAUUAUGUCUUACUUGUCAGGUAUCUGUACUGCAGACUCCAGCACAUAAACUGAAUCUUGAAUUAAAUACUGACAUUUAGAGUGUUUUAAUUAAUUUUCAUGUGAACUGACCUUGAAAAUCUGAUCAAUAAUAAUGUGAACACUUUUCCCCCUUGUCCUCUUACUAUCAUGCUCAGUAUCCAGCAAAAAGUUUAGUUAAUAUUACACAGGAUAAUCCUGACUUAGGAAUUGGAUUCUUGAACAUCUCAACAGCUUUUAGCUGGCACUGCAAUUUUCACUAUUUAAUGGUUGGUUUGUAAAUACCCAAAUCCCAAAUUGAUGUAAUUAUUGAGAGUAUUUAUUUUCUCCAUCCCUUGAAGUUAUCAAAACCUGGAAACUUUGCUGUUGAAACAGUAUGAAAGCAGAAGGCAAAAGCAAACAAUAUGAAAGUUAUCAAUCUUAAAAAUUUCAUGAGUUUUUGGUACACAUCCCAUUUUCUGAAUGCUUGUUUGGGAAUGCCUUCCCUGCCCCUUGGCAGGACUUGCUAGGUCAGGGAAAUCCACAGCUAUAGUGUGCUAGCUGAUGUAAAAUUCUUUUCUUCCAGAGUAUGGAUACAUUUCAGUUAAAUCUCCAGAGGGAAGAUGUGUGAAAGCUGGGUUUGCUUGGGCCCUGCAAGGUGCAGGGUGAUGAUGAGUGAUGACUGCACACCAGGACUCUGUUCCAGCACAAAAGGCAGCUGAUGAACAAGCUUUUACCUUCCCUCCUCAUUCCUCCUGCAACUAAGCAUUUAGAAGGCAUUGAACUGGGUGGAUUUUUGCCUUCUGAACUACUCAAGAACAUCAGGUUAUGGACCUGUUCUGGUCAUGAGCAUGUUUCUUAUGUUCCACUACACAUGCACACACAACACAGAUGCCUAAAUAGCCUCAUUCAUAACAAAGGCAUCACAUUUCAAAGCAAGUGAGGCCCAGAGGAUUUUUUUAAAAUUCAGUUCUCCUUUAUGCAUCUUUCUCGGGUGCUUAUAUGAAUUAAGCUCUAAUCCUCUGAGCUUUGCUUACCAUAUGUUAUUAGAGCAAUUGGUUUUGCAGUGAUAUCUUUGAUUUCAUUACAAAAGACCGUGGUCAAAACUUUUCUUUUAGGACUCUAAGUGACUGUGAUGUUCAUUGUUACUGUUACAUUGUCACUGUUCCUUCAUUGUUACCUCCUUAACACAAAUCCUUCAAAACCUGUGUGUGGGAGAGACAGCCCAUUCUCCAGCAUCUCCUUUCUCCAAAGCCCUUUGGCUCUUUGGGGAAGAAGAGCAAGUCAUUCUUGCUGUGGAAAUGAAAUGAAAAGUGAGAUGGAGUGGCUGCUCAGGGAGAUGCCACAGCAGCAGAGCCCCUGACCAGCCCAGGAUCCAGCCUUGCCACGUGCCAUCCCACCCCUCCCUUGCCUGUGCGGGGCAGUGGCACACCGGGAGCACGGCCAGGCUGAUGCUGGGAGCAGGCUCUGCCCUGGGCUGGGGACAGGCACCUUCACUCACAGAAAGCCUUGCGUGACCAGAACUAACAAGGUUUCAGUCAACAAAGCUUUGGAGAAACUGCGAUGCUGCACUUUGUUCCACAAAGUUUAUAGUUCCUCACCUCUGGCCCCUUUUAAUGCUAUAAUUGCUCUCUUAAAUUUCUCUUUAUUUAACGUCACCCAGUCUGUCUUCUUUUGUUACCAUUUAUUUAACUAAAACAGGCAGAGGCUGAUAUUGAAGGCAGGAAUGGAGCCAGCAUGUUAAAACCUGCUUUUAAUUUAAGGUUCUGGGGCUAGUUUCCUAGCCAUUACCACAUUUCAGAGAAAAUGAAUUUUCUUCUCUCUGUCAAGCAAUGGCUGAUCUAGAUCUAAUUAGGGUCAGUUUCACCUAUAGAUGAGUCAUUUACAUUCUGAAUAUAUGGCUUCCAAAUUAUCGUUUUGGUUUAACAUCAGACAUGAAUAAACCCAUGCAUAUCUUUUUUAGAUGGCACUGAAGAUAAAAAUCAAUGGCUUUUCUUCCACAAAUACUUUUCCCAGCAAAAAGAUGGCAGCUGGAUGAAGAAAAAAAGAUACAGUUCAGGAUAAGGACAAAUAAGAUUAAGGGUAAUGACAGAAUAUAGUUUUCUGAACUGCAGAAAAAGUGGCCUACUUAAGACUUACUAAAAAACAAAAGGCUCUGAAUGUUCAAACACUUAAAGAUAAAUUUUUUGACAAAAACCCCUAGCUAUGCAGGUCCAUACUACUUUUCUUUGAGCACAAUAUGGGUACAGAAACAAAACAGUUUGCAAUGGAAGCAACUGGAAAAAUAUAAAUCAUACAACACAGCAAUUCUGCAGCAGUAUUGGCUAAUACUAAGCACAGUGAAGAGAAAAACUCUUAUUUUUAAGCAGGUUGAAAUCCCAUCCCUUUUUCAGCUGGGAGCCAUUUGUGUAAUCAGUAUGUCUUGCAGCAAAGUUAAAAGAACAAAACUCUAUAAUAUGGCCCCUUGUAGCCUUACUUUGCCAGGAAAACCUUGGAAACAGGAAUUUCUGUUAUCCCUCUCAUUUAUACUCUGCACCUCUCUUUGGCAUCCAUUACCAGCUACUUCCACCAUUCUACUUUUUCACUGGGUGACCAAGAAUUAGCACUGCAGGCACACAUCUCUGUCCUCUGCUCUGAGACCUGACCCAUUACCAGGAUAGCACCUCUGCAUUCAGCUGCAACUAGUGGAGAUGGCUGGGACACAAGCACUUCAGUGCUGGGAAAGAACAAGAUCACUGAAAUACACCGUGGAAAUUAAAUCUCACGCUGCUUCUUAUUAGAGCCAAUAAUAAGUAACAUAACCUCAUUAUUUUGUGUUUUAAAUAGCUUGGGUCAGCAAAGGAGCUAUCAUUUUGGCAGUGUUUGUUUCCUCAGAGGAGGUGUUAUCAGUGGGUUCACAAGUAAUGCUCAUCAGAAGUGCAGAUCCUUCUGCUGUUCAGUGGGAUUAAGCAAAGCAGACUCUGCUAUCAGCAAGGGGAAGAUGAGUUAUUUAGGGCAGCCUAUAAAUCAGUCAAACACCAGGACUAUCUGGCAUCAUUGGGAUCCUGAAGGCUUUGCAGAACCUUUUCCCACUGUGUUCCUAUGGCAGAAGAGCAGCACUGGUGUCUUUUCUCAAGCCUGCUGGGGAAUUCAGCGCUUCUCCACGGCUGCAUUGGAAGAACCACUACUCACUACAGUUGGGGUAGCAAGGUCCCUCACAUGCUGUAGUGGAAAGAAUUCUCAUAUCUCCCAAGAAAAUCCUAAUAAUCAUGCUCCAGAGCAACAUGUUUUAGGGCUCUUCCACCCUACUGCUGAAGGUGGACACAGCACAACCAAGGAAGCAGGAGUCAGUGAGCAGAAGAGGACAAACAAGAGGCCUGGUUCUGUCAGAGCACUGAGGUACCUGGGCUCUUGCUUCCCUCUUCCUGAUCCUGUUUGUGUGGUGAGAGGAAAAGACAAGAGACCUGGAGAUAAAGUUCAGCAGUCCAGUGAGUUCAACCACCUGAAUUCUGCUUGCUUCUUGUUUCAGGCACCUCAACCCCAUCCCUGAGGAUCUCUCGUUGCAUUCCUUGCCAGUUGUGGCUUCUUACUGACUUUCCAUUAAAUCAGUUCAGUGUGUUUUCAUUUACUCUCACCCCAAGAUGCCAGUGAUCUUGCCUGUGUGUUUACUCAUCUCAGGGUCUGAGAAGAAGUAGUAAAAAUACUCAAGUCAAUUUAGGACUGUGGGAUUUGACUUCUCAAGGAGUUUGCCUGCUGCUAGCUGAGCCCCCAACUUCAUUAGUGAGGUAUGAUGAUGAUUCAGGUAAACCCAAGUGUUCUGCUGACUUGUUAUACCAGCUCAGGUUUCUGUGCUAUGCCUUUCCAAGUUGCCUGACUGGACAGGUACCAUUUCACACCGGCUUCCUUUGAAGCUUUAAUUUGCAGCCUGGAUGCACAACUACACCCAGGACCACAACUGGAUUUACAAGGCCUGGGAAAAGACUGUAGAAAUUGAGGUACUUUGCUCUCCUCCCACACUGCCCUGCAGAGCUCAGGGCUACACUUUGGCACUGACAAAUGUGAAUUUGGUCCAUCUGGACAGCCUGAGAGUUGAAAGCUCUGGGUGGGAAUCUGCAUGUCCGGUUGGGUUGGAGCGUGCUAAGAACAAGAACAGGGAUCUUAAAUGCUGACUUUAUCAAGUGGCACAUGCAUUCAGAUCUCUAAUCCUUUUUUUCCUGCCAAACAUAGGAAACUUUUACCUCCUGGUAAAAGACCCCCUGGCUUGCCAUCCCUUCAUAGAAUGUAUUCACCAACAGAAAGGAGGAAGAAACAUGAAAGAAAUUUGCAUAUUUUUGUGACCAGAUACAGACAGAAAAAGAUGUCUUCAUUCAGACAUCUCUUCUGCUCAGAUGUGCUGCUGGAUGUGUCUGGGACAUGACUGGCAAACAGGCACUUUCCCCAUGACAAGCUGAGCUUUCCUGUAACAUCAUCACUUUUCUGCUGUACAGAUCUGUUUAGAAUUUUACAGAUUUUCUUACAGGCUUCCUGUUAUCUGAAGAUGCUCCUGGGACAACCCUUCAGUGUUUUCCCACUAAGAUUUUAUUGAAAAGAUCCAGUGCUAUUUCAAUGAAUCUAAAGCAAUAUUCAGGUCAUUUUGAGUCUAUCUCUAAUAUCUUCAGUAGUUUUUCUGUUAACAUCUGUGGUGAAGUUUUCAAAUGAUGCCAUAAUGAGGAUGUCAGCUGUAACACUUAUAAACCCCACUGCUGCACCUUUCUUCUUUCUAGUGUAGAGUAACAUUACUGAAACUCAACAAAAUGGUCUCAUACACCUCAUGCUCCCAUAAAGAACUUUACCUAAACUAAAGUCAAGGGUAUAUGGAGGACAGUCUCACACUUCUUGUCAGAAUCUGAUUUGGGUGAAAUGUUAAAAGCCAGUAUCUAGAAACCCAUGAAAUCACCUCCAAAAUCCCAGUGGCUCAAAUUGAAUUUGUGAUUAAAGACCUGUUGCAGUCUUCUGACAGCAACCCUUCCAUUGACUUUAGUGAGGUUUGCAUCAGACCCAUUCCUUACCUGUUUUUGUGUCUCAACAUGCAACAUGUGAAGGCCUCCAGAGUCUGAACAUGGUCUUGUAUUUGGACACAAUAAAAGCUGCAAUAAGA
Long non-coding RNA from Serinus canaria (Common canary), 9464 nucleotides. RefSeq lists it as uncharacterized. The transcript has 2 exons. NCBI's taxonomy places the organism in Eukaryota, Metazoa, Chordata, Aves, Passeriformes, Fringillidae. The record is from RefSeq and is a predicted model, not a curated record.